This 402-nucleotide ribosomal RNA is filed under the name Triticum aestivum (bread wheat). RNAcentral's name for it is "partial small subunit ribosomal RNA". The record is from RNAcentral. Lineage: Eukaryota; Viridiplantae; Streptophyta; Magnoliopsida; Poales; Poaceae.
AUGAAUAGAGAAUGUACACCUUUCUUGUUGCUGUACACAUAUAUAUGCCCCCUCUGUUAUUUUUUAUUUGGUUGGGAAACAUGUGCUCCCGAAGGUGCUUCUACCCUAGUUUGGUCUUUUUCACUCGGUAAUGUGGUGAAACACAGGAACUAUAACAGUGUUUUUGCUCAUGUGUUUAUGUUUGCACCUUUUCCAAAAUUUUGCUUAAAUGAAUUUUCAUGUUUCCCGUGUGGGCAUCAAUACUUUUUUGGUGUUUUCCAUCUGAUGGAGAGGGCCAAGGAGAUGAUGACACAAAGGCACCAAAAACUUAUGAACUUAAGGAGGAGAUGCCCAUUUUGGAUUUUUCUCAUAAUGCAAGGAAACACUCAUAAAGAUCAAGACCAACGGCAACAAGAGUUAUAA